Molecule: long non-coding RNA, 227 nt
Organism: Marmota flaviventris (yellow-bellied marmot)
Lineage: Eukaryota; Metazoa; Chordata; Mammalia; Rodentia; Sciuridae
Source: RefSeq, a predicted model, not a curated record
GGGGCUGGUGGGUUAUAAGGCAAGCAGCUUGAGUGCAGUGGAAGAGCCAAGGCCUCCUUACAUCCAAAGGCCUCCCCCGGUGUGCAGUUCCAGCUCCAGGAAGAGUGCUGAGGACCCUGGAGCAGCUCCUAGAAGAGAGAGAGACUCCAGCUCCAACAGGAGUCAGUGGGUGAGGGAAUGGGUGUUUUCUCUUCCCUUUUCUGAAGAAAUAAAGAUGAGAACCAGAA